AUACGUAGGUGGCAAGCGUUGUCCGGAAUUAUUGGGCGUAAAGCGCGCGCAGGCGGUCCUUUAAGUCUGAUGUGAAAGCCCACGGCUCAACCGUGGAGGGUCAUUGGAAAAUGGGGGACUUGAGUGCAGAAGAGGAAAGAGGAAUUCCAAGUGUAGCAGUGAAAUGCGUAGAGAUUUGGAGGAACACCAGUGGCGAAGGCGCCUUUCUGGGUUGUAACUGACUCUGAGGAGCGAAAGCGUGGGGAGCAAACAGGAUUAUAUACCCUGGUAGUCCACGCCGUAAACGAUGAGUGCUAAGUGUUAGGGGGUUUCCGCCCCUUAGUGCUGCAGCUAACGAAUUAAGAACUACGCCUGGGGAGUACGGUCGCAAGACUGAAACUCAAAUGAAUUGACGGU
This 396-nucleotide ribosomal RNA is filed under the name uncultured bacterium. Its description in RNAcentral is "partial 16S ribosomal RNA". It matches the Rfam family "Bacterial small subunit ribosomal RNA", at positions 523 to 917 of the family's 1533-position model. The record is from RNAcentral.